GUCCUGGCAGUAAACGGUGCACGCUUGGUGUGGCAGGAAUCGACCCCUGCCGUGCCGGAGCUAACGCGUUAAGCGUGCCGCCUGGGAAGUACGGUCGCAAGAUUAAAACUCAAAGAAAUUGACGGGGACCCGCACAAGCGGUGGAGUAUGUGGCUUAAUUCGAUGCAACGCGAAGAACCUUACCUGGGCUUGACAUGCAUUCUGUCAUCGGUGAAAGCCGGUUAGUGGAGCAAUCCACGGUUUGCACAGGUGUUGCAUGGCUGUCGU
This 267-nucleotide ribosomal RNA is filed under the name uncultured bacterium. RNAcentral describes it as "partial 16S ribosomal RNA". It matches the Rfam family "Bacterial small subunit ribosomal RNA", at positions 793 to 1055 of the family's 1533-position model. The record is from RNAcentral.